This is a small nucleolar RNA of Syngnathus acus (greater pipefish), 144 nucleotides long. RefSeq annotates it as small nucleolar RNA SNORA79. The record is from RefSeq and is a predicted model, not a curated record. The transcript has a single exon. Lineage: Eukaryota; Metazoa; Chordata; Actinopteri; Syngnathiformes; Syngnathidae.
UGAUGUCAGUUCCUCUUCCUGUUGGCAGUCUCAACAGGAAGAUUUUAUGACAUCACAGAGAAAUUUGGGGUCGUUUCACCCAGAAAGCUGCAGGCCUCGCGCCAAAGAACAUUCGGCUUGCUGGUUUUGCGGGACCCCACAAAA